GAUGAACGCUGGCGGCGUGCCUAAUACAUGCAAGUCGAGCGAACAGAUAAGGAGCUUGCUCCUCUGACGUUAGCGGCGGACGGGUGAGUAACACGUGGAUAACCUACCUAUAAGACUGGGAUAACUUCGGGAAACCGGAGCUAAUACCGGAUAAUAUAUUGAACCGCAUGGUUCAAUAGUGAAAGACGGUUUUGCUGUCACUUAUAGAUGGAUCCGCGCCGCAUUAGCUAGUUGGUAAGGUAACGGCUUACCAAGGCAACGAUGCGUAGCCGACCUGAGAGGGUGAUCGGCCACACUGGAACUGAGACACGGUCCAGACUCCUACGGGAGGCAGCAGUAGGGAAUCUUCCGCAAUGGGCGAAAGCCUGACGGAGCAACGCCGCGUGAGUGAUGAAGGUCUUCGGAUCGUAAAGCUCUGUUAUUAGGGAAGAACAAAUGUGUAAGUAACUAUGCACGUCUUGACGGUACCUAAUCAGAAAGCCACGGCUAACUACGUG
RNAcentral lists this ribosomal RNA (497 nucleotides) under uncultured bacterium. RNAcentral describes it as "partial 16S ribosomal RNA". It matches the Rfam family "Bacterial small subunit ribosomal RNA", at positions 28 to 507 of the family's 1533-position model. The record is from RNAcentral.